CGAGAAUCCCGAGCGCCCGGAAGCGCCGGUCUGAGGCGAGGAGAGCGGGGCGGGGACGUGCUGUGGAAGCGGCUGGAGAGACAAGAGCGGCUUUCUGGUCACGUACGACCUUCGGGGCGGCUGUCUUUCGGCCUUGGGGAGAAGAUGGAGUCGGGCUGGGAGGCUGAGGGCGGACCGGGGCAGACGUGGCAGAGACUGUAGUCGCGCUUCCGUUUUCAAACAGCGUUUGCAGAAUACAGACCCCGGCCCAGGAGGUGCAAACCCGCCUUUCGCCCUGGUCCUGGUCCGUUAGUUUCUAGGGCUUGAGGGCGCGGGGCGAGCGGGCUGCGAAACGUCUGCUAAGGAUGAUUUUGUAAAGACAGUAGGAGAAGCUAGUCAUGGGCUGGGAGGAGCAUCCGGAGCAGACUCUGUGAUGCAGUCCACACCACCGUUGCGUCCUUAAGAUGGCCCCAGGCGUUGCUUCCGUGGUGCCUACUUGUUUAGAAAGAGGAAAGGCAAAGUGUUUCCCUUAACCAGUAGAAAAUUCCUGCCUUGGUGCGUUUUGGUGAUUAACAAAUAAGAAUUUUAAACAUAGUUAUUCUACUGUAGGGUGCUCUCAAAUAUUGCUCACGUUUAAUGCUUACAACAACGGCCGCAAACUAGGCAGGGCAAACGUCCGCGCUUCCUCCCACUGUGUCCCUUCCCCCACGCUUUACAGAAACGAGGGAAGAAGCUAAGAGAUUUGGCAGGCAGCUCUUCGUGCCCGCCGUAACCACACCACAGCUUCAUGGUUCCUGGGCGCGAAAGUGUGAGAACUACUGUCAUGGGCUAAUUUGUCCCACAAGUCUCCACGGUGAUUUUAAUUUCUAGUAGUAGAUGAUAAUUUAAGCCACUGGUAGCUGUUGCCACAAGUUUUUUCUUAGUGGCAGCAUGCACUGAUGGAAUCUCAAUGGCUUUUGAGUCAGACCAGUUGGUAUCUUAUCCACCCACAACUGCACCUGGCAAUUCUCCCACUGGGACAUGAUGUUAGCAAGGUGGGUGCGCUUGCCCAAGCCUCACCACCGAGAAUCAAUGGAAAGUAAAGGCUUGGGUUGAGAAGUGACUAAGCUACUUUUAGGGAAGAAAAACAGUUAGCUUUUAGCCAUAGCACAACCUGCCAGGAGGCCAAGUUAGAAGCGGAGGCAAGGAAAUAAGAAUGAUCAUUGUAGGAAGGGUUGAUGCCCUCUUCUGGAUGCCUGUGAUUGGGGUUGGGCUGGGCCUGGUGAUGAAAAAUGAACCUCAUCAAAUGAAAAGGAGCCUCUCUGCGCUGUUUAUUUGUAAGAAACCCCUUGAUUAUUGCUCUAAUUCUGCAAAUACCCAUAAGCAGCACUUCCUCUGAAAUAUCUUCAUCCAACACAAGCACUUUCUUCACAUAUGUCAGAAAGUUUGCCUUCACUAACUUCCUGUGUUGGUUAAUUUUAUGGAUCAAAUGUGCUGGGCUACAGUGGCCAGAUAUUUGGUCAAACAUUAUUCCGGAUAUUUUUGUGAGGGUGGUUUUUAGAUGAAAUUAACAGUUAAGUUAGUAGACUUUUAAGUAAAGCAGAUUGUCCUCCAAAAUGUAAGUGGGCCUCAUCCAGUCAGUUGAAGGUCUGAAUGGAACAAUAGACUGAUUUCCCCUGAACAAGAAGGAAUUUUGCCAAUUCUGCCAUCAGAUGGCCUUCAGACUUGAACAGCUACAUCAAUUAUUCCCUGGAUCUCCAGCCUGCUGGCCCACCCUGCAGAUUGUGGACUUUUCAGCCUCCACAGUCCUUAAAAUCAAUCAACCACUUCCUCUCUCUUUCCAUAUAUGUAAACAUAUACACAUUCUAUUAUUUCUGUUUCUCUGGAGAACCUUGACUAAUCUAGUUCUUCUGGGUGAACAUCUGAGUGUCUCAAAAGGCCACAAUGUCAACAUUCCCUUGGUCAGCUAUUUUUUCUGUAAUUCCAUUUAUGUUCAACUAGAAUUUAACUUCCAGUUUUGUUGCUUUCUGUUUCUUUGCUGCACUUUCAUCUUUCUUGACCAGUUCCCUCUUUCAAUGAUCCAUUUUUGUAAAAUGUCACAUGUAUUUAUCAUGGGGCAACAAGGAAACAACAUGGCUACACACUUUGCAUAAACUGCAUAAACUGAAGAACAAAUUAGCACUGACCAAUCACAAACAGACUUUGAAAAAAGUAGGAUGAUUGGUCUUGAACACGAUGCAUAUAUAUUAUUUAUGUAGUGAUUUGUAGACUGAAGAGCUAGCACCAGGUUUGUACUUUACACAAUUACCCAUAGUUAUCAAUGUGGUAACUGAAAUUUGAACUCUGUUGUUCGGAAGCUGGUGAAGUUUAACCAUAUCAUGAUCAUGAUCAUGAAAUGAAAUUUAUGCCUCUUAGAACCAUGCAAUGCCAAGACUGCCUACACUUACUUUUGAACUGAUUGUCUAAGUUCAUAAUAAAGAAGUCUCUACCUACCAUGAAGGACCAUGAAGCAAAGAAAACAAGGUUCUUAACAGAAUCAGCAGCAUCUCUAUAAAAAUUCUAUUAUUUUAUUAACUUGAAUUCUUAAAAUGCUAGACUUAUUUUUUGCCUAUUUUCUGUGAAUAAUUGACGCCUGUAGAAUCACGUAAAAAGAUACAAACAUAAGUAGUUUGUGGCAGAGACAGCUAGUUGUCCAACAGAAAUCAAUUUUUCUCUUCUUUAAUAAUCAUAUUCCAGGUUUUAGUGGCGCUCAUGAAAUGCUUCCACUAUCCUCCUAUCCUCUCUUGAAGCUUAUGAUCAAAUUCUGGCCAGUAGGAUGUGAACAAAACUAUUGUGUGUCACUUCUGAGUUUAUUCUUCAGAGGAACAAAUGUGCUUCCUCUGGCCUUUUUGCUACCGGCUAGGAUACAGCAGUGAAGGCAAGAAGUGGAACAGCCACUUUGAACCCAGAAAUGAAAUCUGUGUGUUAAAUAAGGAUGACAGAGCAGCGUUAUACAUCUUGGACUAUGUCUCUAGAAAGUUAUAUCAGAGACAAUGAACUUCACUUUUGUUUUAGCCACUGAAUUUUGAGAUCUUUUGUUAUAAACACUUUAACCUAAUAAACGCAGGCAUAUAUUCCUUUUUGAGAAUAACCAGUAGCUUAACGUACUCACAUAGGAAGUUUAUGCACAUUACACUAAAUAGUGAAUGGAUUGUCUAUAUUCUAACUUUCAUUUAAAGAUGACAGGAAGAAAGGCUGAGGGCCCAAGUGUAAUGGCAUCCCCUUCUCAAGGAAUAAACUGAGCAGGAGCCACUGAAGACAAUUAAUGGUCUAAGGCAACCAACAUAGACAGGAUGGAUAAAACCUGCUUGUUGCAGAGUGGAUGUGAUGUUUUCCAUUUAGCAUUUAUUGUGCCCUAAGGCUGUGAACUUUCAUUCUUAACAACCAGCUGUAUUGGGAAGGGGGACCUCCAAUAUUUAAAUUGAAUUUCCAGGAGCUGCUGGGGUCUAACGGGAGAGAGUUACUUGGCAAUACCGUAUUUAUAGAAUUUGUGUCAAAAAUAAAUAUCAGGUGGUACGAAUCAGUUUAGUCAUUGACAUGAAUAUAAUUUAUCCAGCUACAACUACUGAAAUAUGUGCAUCAUGAAAUUUGUCUCUUUUUUAUGGAGCACAUUAAAAAGGAUCUGAUACAUCAACAAAUGUUUGACGCUCAUAUGUGUACACUAGAGGGCACUCACUUUCUAUUAAUUCGCAAACCAGUAUCUAGAAGCAUCACCUUGGGAUCUUGUUAAAAAUGCAUGUUUUGAGGUUGUAGAGGAGCCCGUAAACCUGCUUUUUAACGGGAUGCUCUCUAAGAGCAUAGUAAAGAGAAUGGCUCAUGGAGUCUCACAGCCAGGGUUUGAAAACUGACUUUGCCGUUUGUGAACUUGGGCAAUUAUGUACCUCCCUGUGCCUGGAUUUCCUCAUCCAUUGAAUGAAGUUAGAAAUAACACCUGCCUCUUAGGGUAGUUGUGAUGAUUGGAUCAGUCAACUUAGAACACAACCUAGUGCAUGUCAAUAUAUGCUAGCUCUAUUAUUAUAAGUAUUAUUUUUAAUAAUCAUAUUCAUUGAUUGUAUAGCAGGGUACCUGAAAACCACUCUUGAGAAAUACAGAACUAUUU
Sapajus apella (tufted capuchin) is the source of this 4096-nucleotide long non-coding RNA. RefSeq lists it as uncharacterized. The transcript is spliced from 2 exons. The record is from RefSeq and is a predicted model, not a curated record. Lineage: Eukaryota; Metazoa; Chordata; Mammalia; Primates; Cebidae.